RNAcentral lists this ribosomal RNA (500 nucleotides) under uncultured Acidobacteriota bacterium. Its description in RNAcentral is "bacterial SSU rRNA". It matches the Rfam family "Bacterial small subunit ribosomal RNA", at positions 1004 to 1503 of the family's 1533-position model. Lineage: Bacteria; Pseudomonadati; Acidobacteriota. The record is from RNAcentral.
UGAAGGGAGCUUCCGCAAGGACACUCGUAGAGGUGCUGCAUGGCUGUCGUCAGCUCGUGUCGUGAGAUGUUGGGUUAAGUCCCGCAACGAGCGCAACCCUUGUUUGCUGUUGCCAUCAGGUUAAGCUGGGCACUCUGCAGAGACUGCCGGUGAUAAACCGGAGGAAGAUGGGGAUGACGUCAAGUCAGCAUGGCCUUUAUGUCUGGGGCUACACACGUGCUACAAUGGCCGGUACAAACCGUCGCGAGCCCGCAAGGGGGAGCUAAUCGGAGAAAGCCGGUCUCAGUUCGGAUCGUAGGCUGCAACUCGCCUGCGUGAAGUUGGAAUCGCUAGUAAUCGCGGAUCAGCACGCCGUGGUGAAUACGUUCCCGGGCCUUGUACACACCGCCCGUCACAUCACGAAAGCCGGUUGUACUAGAAGUCGCCACACCAACCCGCAAGGGAGGGAGGCGCCUAAGGUAUGGUCGGUGAUUGGGGUGAAGUCGUAACAAGGUAACCGU